CCUACGGGGGGCAGCAGUGAGGAAUAUUGGUCAAUGGGCGCAAGCCUGAACCAGCCAAGCCGCGUGAGGGAUGAAGGUUCUAUGGAUCUUAAACUUCUUUUAUAAGGGAGUAAAGUGUGGGUCGCGUCCUAUUUUGUAUGUACCUUAUGAAUAAGGAUCGGCUAACUCCGUGCCAGCAGCCGCGGUAAUACGGAGGUUCCGAGCGUUAGCCGGAUUUAUUGGGGUGAAAGGGUGCGUAGGCGGCCUUUUAAGUCAGUGGUGAAAGUCUGUGGCUCAACCAUAGAAUUGCCGUUGAAACUGGGGGGCUUGAGUAUGUUAGAGGCAGGCGGAAUGCGUGGUGUAGCGGUGAAAUGCUUAGAUAUCACGCAGAACCCCGAUUGCGAAGGCAGCCUGCCAAGCCAUGACUGACGCUGAGGCACGAAAGCGUGGGGAUCAAACAGGAUUAGAUACCCCAGUAGUC
Molecule: ribosomal RNA, 460 nt
Filed under: uncultured bacterium
Lineage: Bacteria
Description: partial 16S ribosomal RNA
Rfam family: Bacterial small subunit ribosomal RNA
Source: RNAcentral